GUGGGGAAUCUUAGACAAUGGGGGAAACCCUGAUCUAGCCAUGCCGCGUGAGCGAUGAAGGCCUUAGGGUUGUAAAGCUCUUUCAGCUGGGAAGAUAAUGACGGUACCAGCAGAAGAAGCCCCGGCUAACUCCGUGCCAGCAGCCGCGGUAAUACGGAGGGGGCUAGCGUUGUUCGGAAUUACUGGGCGUAAAGCGCACGUAGGCGGACUGGAAAGUCAGGGGUGAAAUCCCGGGGCUCAACCCCGGAACUGCCUUUGAAACUCCCAGUCUUGAGUUCGAGAGAGGUGAGUGGAAUUCCGAGUGUAGAGGUGAAAUUCGUAGAUAUUCGGAGGAACACCAGUGGCGAAGGCGGCUCACUGGCUCGAUACUGACGCUGAGGUGCGAAAGCGUGGGGAGCAAACAGGAUUAGAAACCCUUGUAGUCC
This 425-nucleotide ribosomal RNA is filed under the name uncultured bacterium. RNAcentral describes it as "partial 16S ribosomal RNA". It matches the Rfam family "Bacterial small subunit ribosomal RNA", at positions 354 to 796 of the family's 1533-position model. The record is from RNAcentral.